Molecule: ribosomal RNA, 494 nt
Filed under: Pseudoalteromonas sp. 6-49
Lineage: Bacteria; Pseudomonadati; Pseudomonadota; Gammaproteobacteria; Alteromonadales; Pseudoalteromonadaceae
Description: bacterial SSU rRNA
Rfam family: Bacterial small subunit ribosomal RNA
Source: RNAcentral
UGGCGGCAGGCCUAACACAUGCAAGUCGAGCGGCAGCGACAACAUUGAACCUUCGGGGGAUUUGUUGGGCGGCGAGCGGCGGACGGGUGAGUAAUGCUUGGGAAUAUGCCUUAUGGUGGGGGACAACAGUUGGAAACGACUGCUAAUACCGCAUGAUGUCUACGGACCAAAGUGGGGGACCUUCGGGCCUCACGCCAUAAGAUUAGCCCAAGUGGGAUUAGCUAGUUGGUGAGGUAAUGGCUCACCAAGGCGACGAUCCCUAGCUGGUUUGAGAGGAUGAUCAGCCACACUGGGACUUGAGACACGGCCCAGACUCCUACGGGAGGCAGCAGUGGGGAAUAUUGCACAAUGGGCGCAAGCCUGAUGCAGCCAUGCCGCGUGUGUGAAGAAGGCCUUCGGGUUGUAAAGCACUUUCAGUAAGGAGGAAAGGUUAGUCAGUUAAUAGUUGGCUAGCUGUGACGUUACUUACAGAAGAAGCACCGGCUAACUCCGUG